CCUACGGGUGGCAACAGUGAGGAAUAUUGGUCAAUGGGCGCGAGCCUGAACCAGCCAAGUAGCGUGAAGGAUGACUGCCCUACGGGUUGUAAACUUCUUUUAUAAAGGAAUAAGUGAGGCACGUGUGCCCUUUUGUAUGUACUUUAUGAAUAAGGAGCGGCUAACUCCGUGCCAGCAGCCGCGGUAAUACGGAGGAUCCGAGCGUUAUCCGGAGUUAUUGGGUUUAAAGGGAGCGUAGAUGGGUUGUUAAGUCAGUUGUGAAAGUUUGCGGCUCAACCGUCAAAUUGCAGUUGAUACUGGAGGUCUUGAGUACAGUUGAGGUAGGCGGAAUUCGUGGUGUAGCGGUGAAAUGCUUAGAUAUCACGAAGAACUCCGAUUGCGAAGGCAGCUUACUAGACUGCCACUGACAUUGAUGCUCGAAAGUGUGGGUAUCAAACAGGAUUAGAUACCCGAGUAGUC
Molecule: ribosomal RNA, 459 nt
Filed under: uncultured bacterium
Lineage: Bacteria
Description: partial 16S ribosomal RNA
Rfam family: Bacterial small subunit ribosomal RNA
Source: RNAcentral